Acanthosepion pharaonis is the source of this 114-nucleotide non-coding RNA. Lineage: Eukaryota; Metazoa; Mollusca; Cephalopoda; Sepiida; Sepiidae. The record is from the annotation of a GenBank genome assembly.
UUACGUCCAUAUCACGUUGAAACACAGGUUUUUGUACGAUCGCCGAAGUUAAGCAACAUCGAACCUGGUCAGCAGCUAGAUGCGGGAGCACUUGGGAAUACCAGGUGCUGUAAU